GAUGAACGCUAGCGGUAGGCAUAACACAUGCAAGUCGAGGGGCAGCAUAAUUGAAGCUUGCUUUGAUUGAUGGCGACCGGCGGAUGGGUGAGUAACGCGUAUGCAACCUGGCUUAUACAGGAGGAUAGACACUGGAAACGGUGCGUAAUACUGCGUAAUGUUAUUGAGAGGCAUCUCUUGAUAAAGAAAGAUUUCGAUUGGUAUAAGAUGGGCAUGCGUAGGAUUAGCUAGAUGGUGAGGUAACGGCCCACCAAGGCAACGAUCGGUAGCCGGACUGAGAGGUUGAACGGCCACAUUGGGAACUGAGACACGGCCCAG
Molecule: ribosomal RNA, 318 nt
Filed under: uncultured bacterium
Lineage: Bacteria
Description: bacterial SSU rRNA
Rfam family: Bacterial small subunit ribosomal RNA
Source: RNAcentral